Molecule: ribosomal RNA, 495 nt
Filed under: uncultured Glomeromycotina
Lineage: Eukaryota; Fungi; Glomeromycota
Description: partial small subunit ribosomal RNA
Rfam family: Eukaryotic small subunit ribosomal RNA
Source: RNAcentral
CCAAUAGCGUAUAUUAAAGUUGUUGCAGUUAAAAAGCUCGUAGUUGAAUUUCGGGGUUCUACCGUUGGUCGGGCUUUGUCUGUACUGGCGUGUAGAAUUUCUACCUUCUGGGGAACCAUCAUGUUAUUAAUUUAACGUGGUGGGAAACCAGGACCUUUACCUUGAAAAAAUUAGAGUGUUCAAAGCAGGCUUAUGUCUGAAUACAUUAGCAUGGAAUAAUAAAAUAGGACGGUGGUCCUGUUUUGUUGGUUUCUGAAUCACCGUAAUGAUUAAUAGGGAUAGUUGGGGGCAUUAGUAUUCAAUUGUCAGAGGUGAAAUUCUUGGAUUUAUUGAAGGCUAACUUCUGCGAAAGCAUUUGCCAAGGAUGUUUUCAUUAAUCAAGAACGAAAGUUAGGGGAUCGAAGACGAUCAGAUACCGUCGUAGUCUUAACCAUAAACUAUGCCGACUAGGGAUCGGACGAUGUUAAUUUUUCUUGACUCGUUCGGCGCCUUACG